RNAcentral lists this ribosomal RNA (440 nucleotides) under uncultured bacterium. Its description in RNAcentral is "partial 16S ribosomal RNA". It matches the Rfam family "Bacterial small subunit ribosomal RNA", at positions 338 to 795 of the family's 1533-position model. The record is from RNAcentral.
CCUACGGGUGGCUGCAGUGGGGGAUAUUGCACAAUGGGGGGAACCCUGAUGCAGCGACGCCGCGUGGGUGAAGAAGCGCCUCGGCGCGUAAAGCCCUGUCAGCAGGGAAGAAAAUGACGGUACCUGAAGAAGAAGCCCCGGAUAACUACGUGCCAGCAGCCGCGGUAACAUGGAGGGGGCAAGCGUUAUCCGGAUUUACUGGGUGUAAAGGGGGCGCAGACGGCGUUGCAAGCCAGGAGUGAACGCCCGGGGCCCAACCCCGGGACUGCUGUUGAAACUGCGUGGCUGGAGUGAAGGAGGGGCAGGCGGAAUUCGUGGUGUAGCGGUGAAAUGCGUAGAUAUCAGGAGGAACACCGGUGGCGAAGGCGGCCUGCUGGGCUGCAACUGACGUUGAGGCCCGAAAGCGUGGGGAGCAAACAGGAUUAGAUACCCCUGUAGUC